AACACUGUUAUAAGAGAAGAACGGCACUGAGAGUAACUGUUCAGUGUGUGACGGUAUCUUACCAGAAAGGAACGGCUAAAUACGUGCCAGCAGCCGCGGUAAUACGUAUGUUCCAAGCGUUAUCCGGAUUUAUUGGGCGUAAAGCGAGCGCAGACGGUUAUUUAAGUCUGAAGUGAAAGCCCUCAGCUCAACUGAGGAAUGGCUUUGGAAACUGGAUGACUUGAGUGCAGUAGAGGAAAGUGGAACUCCAUGUGUAGCGGUGAAAUGCGUAGAUAUAUGGAAGAACACCAGUGGCGAAGGCGGCUUUCUGGACUGUAACUGACGUUGAGGCUCGAAAGUGUGGGUAGCAAACAGGAUUAGAUACCCUGGUAGUCCACACCGUAAACGAUGAGUGCUAGAUGUUCGAGGGUUUCCGCCCUUGAGUGUCGCAGCUAACGCAUUAAGCACUCCGCCUGGGGAGUACGACCGCAAGGUUGAAACUCAAAGGAAAUUG
This 493-nucleotide ribosomal RNA is filed under the name uncultured Weissella sp. RNAcentral describes it as "bacterial SSU rRNA". It matches the Rfam family "Bacterial small subunit ribosomal RNA", at positions 429 to 913 of the family's 1533-position model. Lineage: Bacteria; Bacillati; Bacillota; Bacilli; Lactobacillales; Lactobacillaceae. The record is from RNAcentral.